ACCUACGGGGGGCAGCAGUGAGGAAUAUUGCGCAAUGGGGGAAACCCUGACGCAGCGACGCCGCGUGAGUGAGGAAGGCCUUCGGGUCGUAAAGCUCUGUCAAAGGGAAAGAAGUGCAUGAUGGCUAAUACCUGUCAUGUUUGACGGUACCCUUAAAGGAAGCACCGGCUAACUCCGUGCCAGCAGCCGCGGUAAUACGGAGGGUGCAAGCGUUGUUCGGAAUCACUGGGCGUAAAGGGCGCGUAGGCGGUUUGAUAAGUCAGAUGUGAAAGCCCACGGCUUAACUGUGGAAGUGCAUUUGAAACUGUCAGACUUGAGUAUCAGAGGGGAAAGUGGAAUUCCCGGUGUAGAGGUGAAAUUCGUAGAUAUCGGGAGGAAUACCGGUGGCGAAGGCGACUUUCUGGCUGAAUACUGACGCUGAGGCGCGAAAGCGUGGGGAGCAAACAGGAUUAGAUACCCGGGUAGUCCG
RNAcentral lists this ribosomal RNA (469 nucleotides) under uncultured bacterium. RNAcentral's name for it is "bacterial SSU rRNA". It matches the Rfam family "Bacterial small subunit ribosomal RNA", at positions 337 to 797 of the family's 1533-position model. The record is from RNAcentral.